UGGAGAUUGCUCUUCUUGGAGUCUACUCAGUGACCCAGGACAAGGUGCUUUCUACUGGGCAAAAUGACCAUAUGUUUAUGGCAGAAUCUUACGAAUGAUGCCUCCUUUAAUGUGAGAACUCUGAUUUUUCUUGGAGCUUCUUCAAGAGCGUUGAAGGAAGAUGCCAGCUGGUCAAUGUGAUGGUGGCCUUUCGAGUACAAUAGGAACAUGAAAGAUAUGUUUUCUUUUCUCCUCAUUGGUGUUGCUGCUUUCUGUAACAGAGCUCUUGACAGCAAACUAGUUUUGUUAAAUUUUCUAAGCAAUUCUUUUCUCCUUUUGAAGGCUUUUUCUUCUUUCAGUUUUUUACAAUGUAAAAUCUGGUUGUUAUUGAUUGUAUUGAUUUUAAUAUAAUGUAGAUUAAUUUUUCUAAUAAUAUUAACCCUUCUGUUAUGUAGACUUCAACAACUUUGUAAAUAAUUCAGUGUAAAGGAUUACGUUAAAAUGCUGACCCUUUAUAAUUUAUUCUAAAUGCAAUAUGCCAGACACUUCAUAGGAACAGAGGAGGAAAAAAACUGGACACUUCUAUGGACACAUCUUUAAUGUAUAGUAAUGAGGAAAUUCUUAAUACAGAGGAGCAUGCUUUUUUUUUUUUUUUGAAGAAAAAUAAUGCUACUUUUGUGCUGAUUUCAUUUCUUUUAAAGAACUGUGGCACCUCUAAAAGGUGUUUCAGAGCAUAUGCUCACGUUAAAAGCUGUGACACCUUCCUCUCCAUGUAAUUAUUCCACUGACAUUGUUUUGCAUAGCAGAAAUAAAACCCAAAUGCAAUAGAUGAUAAAACUCAUGUGAAUAAUUUGUCCAACUAUAAGGAACAUAGCUGUUCUGAGAUUAUUAGGUAAUCAUAGAAUCAAAUAAUCACUUGAGUUGGAAGGGACUUUGAAAGGUCAUCUAGUCCAACCCCCCUGCAAUGAACAGGAACAUCUCAAUCAGGUUUCUCAGUGCCUGUCUGGUCUGUCUUUGUAAUUACAAGGAAAUGUCUCUUUUUGGUUUUCCAUAUCAUGUGGAGAAUGUUUCAACAAAGCUAGUGUUUGUUCCCGUAAACCAGCA
Long non-coding RNA from Phasianus colchicus (ring-necked pheasant), 1083 nucleotides. RefSeq lists it as uncharacterized. Lineage: Eukaryota; Metazoa; Chordata; Aves; Galliformes; Phasianidae. The record is from RefSeq and is a predicted model, not a curated record.